AAAAAUUCUGCAACAAGAAGAACACGUUAAAAUUCCUGCAGCCAACUGAACAACAAACUCAAACAGUUGUCCUCUCUCCAAUUCGGACCAUUACUUCCAACAAGGAAAAAUUGAAAGUCAACUUUUUCCCUUUUCCAUCAAACAUAAACCCUAAUUUUUGGGUAUAAAUAAAAGGAACCAAAACUCAAAGAAAAGAAAAAAAGGAGAACCACAGCCGCACCUGCAAAGAAACAAUCAACAACAAACCCAAAAAGAACAGCCGCAACAGUACAACCACAACCAAAACCCUAAAAUUUUUCAUCACAGAAACCAAACUUUCAAAACCACAGAAAAAAGCCAAAAACCACACAGAAACCACCAACCAAUCUUCAACCUCCAUCCAGUUUCAACCAUAUCCUCAAAUCAUCAAAACCAAAAGGAAAAUCUAAAAAAAAAACAACAAAACAGAAACCGAAACAAAACAGAAGGAAGAAGGAGCGAAAAGAAGAAGAAAAAAAACCUUGAAAACUGCCUUCUCCGAUCUACGUUUGGGUGAGAUUUUCGAAUUUUUCAUGCUCAUUUUCGUAUUCUAGGGUUUGAAUAAAGGGGGGUUUAGUGU
Molecule: long non-coding RNA, 598 nt
Filed under: Trifolium pratense (red clover)
Lineage: Eukaryota; Viridiplantae; Streptophyta; Magnoliopsida; Fabales; Fabaceae
Description: long non-coding RNA (TPRA_LNC000407)
Source: RNAcentral